Molecule: ribosomal RNA, 301 nt
Filed under: uncultured bacterium
Lineage: Bacteria
Description: partial 16S ribosomal RNA
Rfam family: Bacterial small subunit ribosomal RNA
Source: RNAcentral
CAGUAGCCGCGGGAAUACGUAGGUGGCAAGCGUUGUCCGGAAUUAUUGGGCGUAAAGGGCUCGCAGGCGGUUUCUUAAGUCUGAUGUGAAAGCCCCCGGCUCAACCGGGGAGGGUCAUUGGAAACUGGGAAACCUGAGUGCAGAAGAGGAGAGUGGAAUUCCACGUGUAGCGGUGAAAUGCGUAGAGAUGUGGAGGAACACCAGUGGCGAAGGCGACUCUCUGGUCUGUAACUGACGCUGAGGAGCGAAAGCGUGGGGAGCGAACAGGAUUAGAUACCCCUGUAGUCCCUGUCUCUUAUAC